AAGAGCCGUAUGAAUCGAGAGGUUCACGUACGGUUCUGUGAGGGACUGCGGGUGCAAUUCCCGCGGUCUACUCGAC
RNAcentral lists this non-coding RNA (76 nucleotides) under Aquicella lusitana. The record is from RNAcentral. Lineage: Bacteria; Pseudomonadati; Pseudomonadota; Gammaproteobacteria; Legionellales; Coxiellaceae.